RNAcentral lists this small nucleolar RNA (103 nucleotides) under Naematelia encephala. RNAcentral's name for it is "Tremella encephala Small nucleolar RNA snR60/Z15/Z230/Z193/J17". It matches the Rfam family "Small nucleolar RNA snR60/Z15/Z230/Z193/J17". Rfam says of the family: The members of this family belong to the C/D class of snoRNAs which contain the C (UGAUGA) and D (CUGA) box motifs. Lineage: Eukaryota; Fungi; Basidiomycota; Tremellomycetes; Tremellales; Naemateliaceae. The record is from Rfam by way of RNAcentral.
UCAAAAUUACGGAUGAUCCACAAAUUCAAGCAUAGUUCAAUCAGAUCUAAAUAUGAUCGACAACAUACCAUCUAUAGUCUUUCGCUCCUAUCUGAAACCCUCC